RNAcentral lists this long non-coding RNA (248 nucleotides) under dengue virus type 1. RNAcentral describes it as "Dengue virus 1 partial sfRNA1". The stretch from base 149 to 220 matches the Rfam family "Flavivirus DB element". Lineage: Riboviria; Orthornavirae; Kitrinoviricota; Flasuviricetes; Amarillovirales; Flaviviridae. The record is from RNAcentral.
AAGAAGUCAGGCCGGAUUAAGCCAUAGUACGGUAAGAGCUAUGCUGCCUGUGAGCCCCGUCUAAGGACGUAAAAUGAAGUCAGGCCGAAAGCCACGGCUUGAGCAAACCGUGCUGCCUGUAGCUCCAUCGUGGGGAUGUAAAAACCUGGGAGGCUGCAACCCAUGGAAGCUGUACGCAUGGGGUAGCAGACUAGUGGUUAGAGGAGACCCCUCCCGAAACAUAACGCAGCAGCGGGGCCCAACACCAG